UACCGUACCAGUUCAGUACCGGUACCAAUGGCAUAUCGAUCCUCGGUACGCCAAAAAAACUUUGUACCGUACUGUAUCGACAUUAUACUAAUAUGUCACCGAUACACGGUCCGGUACCGGUACGGCGAACCUUGAGUGAAAUCUAUUGUUUGCUCAUAAGAAUUCUAUUUUACAUAAACUUCCUAAACAUCAUAUCAUCAUAUAGUUAUAUGGUGCACAUUGGUCAAAGAAAGAAUUUAAAAUAGCAUUAAACAGACACUAAGAAUGGCUACGCCUUACCAUGACC
Molecule: long non-coding RNA, 286 nt
Filed under: Phoenix dactylifera (date palm)
Lineage: Eukaryota; Viridiplantae; Streptophyta; Magnoliopsida; Arecales; Arecaceae
Description: long non-coding RNA (PDAC_LNC000746)
Source: RNAcentral